ACGGUAACAUUUCUAGCUUGCUAGAAGAUGACGAGUGGCGGACGGGUGAGUAAUGCUUGGGAACUUGCCUUUGCGAGGGGGAUAACAGUUGGAAACGACUGCUAAUACCGCAUAAUGUCUUCGGACCAAACGGGGCUUUUAGCUCCGGCGCAAAGAGAGGCCCAAGUGAGAUUAGCUAGUUGGUAAGGUAACGGCUUACCAAGGCGACGAUCUCUAGCUGUUCUGAGAGGAAGGUCAGCCACACUGGGACUGAGGCACGGCCCAGACUCCUACGGGAGGCAGCAGUGGGGAAUAUUGCACAAUGGGGGAAACCCUGAUGCAGCCAUGCCGCGUGUGUGAAGAAGGCCUUCGGGUUGUAAAGCACUUUCAGUUGUGAGGAAAAGUUAGUAGUUAAUACCUGCUAGCCGUGACGUUAACAACAGAAGAAGCACCGGCUAACUCCGUGCCAGCAGCCGCGGUAAUACGGAGGGCGCGAGCGUUAAUCGGAAUUACUGGGCGUAAAGCGCACGCAGGCGGUUUGUUAAGCUAGAUGUGAAAGCCCCGGGCUCAACCUGGGAUGGUCAUUUAGAACUGGCAGACUAGAGUCUUGGAGAGGGGAGUGGAAUUCCAGGUGUAGCGGUGAAAUGCGUAGAUAUCUGGAGGAACAUCAGUGGCGAAGGCGACUCCCUGGCCAAAGACUGACGCUCAUGUGCGAAAGUGUGGGUAGCGAACAGGGAUUAGAUACCCUGGUAGUCCACACC
This 740-nucleotide ribosomal RNA is filed under the name uncultured Gammaproteobacteria bacterium. RNAcentral describes it as "bacterial SSU rRNA". It matches the Rfam family "Bacterial small subunit ribosomal RNA", at positions 66 to 801 of the family's 1533-position model. The record is from RNAcentral. Lineage: Bacteria; Pseudomonadati; Pseudomonadota; Gammaproteobacteria.